This 163-nucleotide small nuclear RNA is filed under the name Propithecus coquereli (Coquerel's sifaka). RNAcentral describes it as "U1 spliceosomal RNA (ENSPCOG00000007934.1)". It matches the Rfam family "U1 spliceosomal RNA". Rfam says of the family: U1 is a small nuclear RNA (snRNA) component of the spliceosome (involved in pre-mRNA splicing). Its 5' end forms complementary base pairs with the 5' splice junction, thus defining the 5' donor site of an intron. The record is from Rfam by way of RNAcentral. Lineage: Eukaryota; Metazoa; Chordata; Mammalia; Primates; Indriidae.
AUACUUACCCUGCAGACCGAGAUACCAUGAUCAUGAAGGUGGUUCUCCCAGGGUGAGGCUCAUCCGCUGCACUUCGGAUGUGCUGACCCCUGGGAUUUCCCCACAUGUGGGCAAACUGGACCGCAUAAUUUGCUGUAGUGGGAGGAGUACGUUUGCGCUCUUA